RNAcentral lists this ribosomal RNA (253 nucleotides) under uncultured bacterium. Its description in RNAcentral is "partial 16S ribosomal RNA". It matches the Rfam family "Bacterial small subunit ribosomal RNA", at positions 524 to 776 of the family's 1533-position model. The record is from RNAcentral.
UACGUAGGGGGCGAGCGUUAAUCGGAAUUACUGGGCGUAAAGCGUGCGCAGGCGGUCCGCAAAGUCUGAUGUGAAAGCCCCGGGCUCAACCUGGGAACUGCAUUGGAAACUAACGGGCUCGAGUGUGGCAGAGGGGGGUGGAAUUCCACGUGUAGCAGUGAAAUGCGUAGAGAUGUGGAGGAACACCGAUGGCGAAGGCAGCCCCCUGGGCUAACACUGACGCUCAGGCACGAAAGCGUGGGGAGCAAACAGG